Molecule: small nucleolar RNA, 132 nt
Organism: Psammomys obesus (fat sand rat)
Lineage: Eukaryota; Metazoa; Chordata; Mammalia; Rodentia; Muridae
Product: small nucleolar RNA SNORA17
Exons: 1
Source: RefSeq, a predicted model, not a curated record
CCUGCCCCUAGAGGCAUUGCAAGUGUGGCUGCUGUAUCACAUGACUGUCAGUAGGUGGCAGAGAGGAGAGAGGCUGUGUGUGUGCUCAGUGCCCUGACCUAUGAACAUCUGAAUGAUUAGUAGCCUAACAUU